UUAUCGGAAUGAGAACAAUUCAAAUCCUUUAACGAGGAUCUAGCGGAGGGCAAGUCUGGUGCCAGCAGCCGCGGUAAUUCCAGCUCCGCAGGUGUAUAUCUAUGCUGCUGCGGUUAAAAAGCUCGUAGUUGGAUCUGCGUGCUCGGAACUGGUUGGCUCACUGAGUUCAAACUGGUCUCCGGCGCUUUAUUGGCUGGUUUUCCCUUGAUGCUCUUAACCGGGUGUCUUGGGUGGCUAGCACGUUUACUUUGAAAAAAUUAGAGUGCUCAAUACAGGCGUAAAGCCUUGAAUAGUGGUGCAUGGAAUAAUAGAAUAGGACCUCGGCUCUAUUUUGUUGGUUUUCGGAACGCGAGGUAAUGAUUAAGAGGGACAGACUGGGGCAUUCGUAUUGCGACGUUAGAGGUGAAAUUCUUGGAUCGUCGCAAGACGGACGACUGCGAAAGCAUUUGCCAAGAAUGUUUUUCAUUAAUCAAGAACGAAAGUUAGAGGUUCGAAGGCGAUCAGAUACCGCCCUAGUUCUAACCGUAAACGAUGCCAACUAGCGAUUCGCAGGCGUUAAACAACGACCUUGCGGGCAGCUUCCCGGAAACGAAAGUGUUCGGGUUCCGGGGGAAGUAUGGUUGCAAAGCUGAAACUUAAAGGAAUUGACGGAAGGGCACCACCAGGAGUGGAGCCUGCGGCUUAAUUUGACACAACACGGGAAAACUCACCCGGCCCGGACACCGUAAGGAUUGACAGAUUGAGAGCUCUUUCUUGAUUCGGUGGGUGGUGGUGCAUGGCCGUUCUUAGUUGGUGGAGCGAUUUGUCUGGUUUAUUCCGAUAACGAACGAGACUCUGGCCUACUAAAUAGUGGGCGGAUUCUUUCUGUCCGCAACACUUCUUAGAGGGACAAGCGGUGUUCAGCCGCACGAGAUUGAGCAAUAACAGGUCUGUGAUGCCCUUAGAUGUCCGGGGCUGCACGCGCGCUACACUGAAGGAAUCAGCGUGCUUUCUGACCUUGCCCGAAAGGGCUGGGUAACCCGAUGAAAAUCCUUCGUGAUUGGGAUAGGGACUUGCAAUUAUUUCCCUUGAACGAGGAAUUCCCAGUAAGUGUGGGUCAUAAGCUCGCGUUGAUUACGUCCCUGCCCUUUGUACACACCGCCCGUCGCUGCCCGGAACUGAGCCGUUUCGAGAAGAACAGGGACCGUCGUUGAAGGGCCUUAACGGGCUUUUCUCUGAUAGAAACUGUU
RNAcentral lists this ribosomal RNA (1229 nucleotides) under metagenome. RNAcentral describes it as "SSU rRNA". It matches the Rfam family "Eukaryotic small subunit ribosomal RNA", at positions 506 to 1758 of the family's 1831-position model. The record is from RNAcentral.